AUCACUUCUUGGCCUUUUGGCUAGGAUCAAGUGUAGUGCCUGCUCUUAUCAGUUGAAUAUCUGCUAUGUCCUCUCUCUGAGGACAAUAUAUCACAAGAUUUUGGCACCAGGAGAUGGAACAGGAACUUGCUCCGUCCACUCCAUGCAUCGACCUGUGUUCCCGGUACUCCCAGGGAUGGUGCACCUUUU
Molecule: small nuclear RNA, 189 nt
Gene: U2
Rfam family: U2 spliceosomal RNA
About the family: U2 is a small nuclear RNA (snRNA) component of the spliceosome (involved in pre-mRNA splicing).
Source: Ensembl